GGAGUUGUUUCUAAGAGAAGGCCAAGACUUGAUGCUAUGAGAAUAGAGCCUUAUCUUUUGGAUGCCGAGGGUCGUGUUUUUUGGAACUUAAGAUGUUGUGGCGGUAAUGAGCUGUUACUUCAAGAUAUGGGGACCUGGGAUGUGAAUGCAUCAGCUGAAAAGUGGACUAUCUAUGAACGGAAAGAAGAUAUUGAGGAAUACAUUUCUUCAGUAAGGGCAAAAAGGAUAAGGAGUUGUAAAAUUGCUCCUGCUUAAUUAGUGCAAGUGAUGUAGAAGAAUUAUAUUGAUUCUUUGGAUAUUUCACCACUUUAGGCCAUAUAAUUGGGGCUAUAUGGGGAGUCAAUUGCUGUACUUCCUUCAGGUGCGCUUUUUUCGCUGCAUCAUUGAUAACAUAAACGUGAAAGUGUCCAGAGAAUUUAUCUCCUACUGUAUAUUUUUGACAGCAUCGCUUGUUGUAUGAGGCCGGAUGAUUUUAAAUUUUAGAGGCAGAAUGUACCAGGAAUGGAUUUAACCCUUAACAGUUGUUUAGCAUGUCAGCUAUAUAGUACUUUGCUCACUUUCGAUUUGUUUUUUGUCUUUUUUUUUGAAUCUUUGUUGAAAAUGUGGGAUAUAGCAUCGCUUAUUAUGGACUAUGUAAUACCUUGUAUAACAGUGAAAAAAAUUGGCAAGGCUUUAAUGUUUGUUGGAAAUGUGGAAUGGAGC
Molecule: long non-coding RNA, 702 nt
Organism: Morus notabilis
Lineage: Eukaryota; Viridiplantae; Streptophyta; Magnoliopsida; Rosales; Moraceae
Exons: 5
Source: RefSeq, a predicted model, not a curated record